CUAACACAUGCAAGUCGAGCGAGAAUCUUCGGUUUGAAUCCUUCGGGAGGAUAACCGGAGAGGAAAGCGGCGGACGGGUGAGUAACGCGUGAGUAACCUGCCUUUAGGAGGGGGACAACAUUUCGAAAGGAAUGCUAAUACCGCAUAAUAUUAUCGUACCGCAUGGUAAGAUAAUCAAAGCGCUUAGCGCCUAAAGAUGGACUCGCGUCUGAUUAGCUAGUUGGUGGGGUAAAGGCCUACCAAGGCGACGAUCAGUAGCCGAACUGAGAGGUUGAUCGGCCACAUUGGGACUGAGACACGGCCCAGACUCCUACGGGAGGCAGCAGUGGGGGAUAUUGCGCAAUGGGGGGAACCCUGACGCAGCAACGCCGCGUGAAGGAAGAAGGUUUUCGGAUCGUAAACUUCUUUAAGUGUGGAAGAUAAUGACGGUACACACAGAAUAAGCCACGGCUAACUACGUGCCAGCAGCCGCGGUAAUACGUAGGUGGCGAGCGUUGUCCGGAUUUACUGGGUGUAAAGGGCGUGU
RNAcentral lists this ribosomal RNA (526 nucleotides) under uncultured bacterium. RNAcentral's name for it is "bacterial SSU rRNA". It matches the Rfam family "Bacterial small subunit ribosomal RNA", at positions 48 to 572 of the family's 1533-position model. The record is from RNAcentral.